GUAGGUGGCAAGCGUUGUCCGGAAUUAUUGGGCGUAAAGCGCGCGCAGGCGGUUCCUUAAGUCUGAUGUGAAAGCCCACGGCUCAACCGUGGAGGGUCAUUGGAAACUGGGGGACUUGAGUGCAGAAGAGGAGAGCGGAAUUCCACGUGUAGCGGUGAAAUGCGUAGAGAUGUGGAGGAACACCAGUGGCGAAGGCGGCUCUCUGGUCUGUAACUGACGCUGAGGCGCGAAAGCGUGGGGAGCAAACAGGAUUAGAUACCCUGGUAGUCCACGCCGUAAACGAUGAGUGCUAAGUGUUAGAGGGUAUCCGCCCUUUAGUGCUGUASSUAACGCAUUAAGCACUCCGCCUGGGGAGUACGCUCGCAUAGAGUG
RNAcentral lists this ribosomal RNA (372 nucleotides) under uncultured bacterium. RNAcentral describes it as "bacterial SSU rRNA". It matches the Rfam family "Bacterial small subunit ribosomal RNA", at positions 527 to 896 of the family's 1533-position model. The record is from RNAcentral.